Molecule: ribosomal RNA, 443 nt
Filed under: uncultured Clostridium sp.
Lineage: Bacteria; Bacillati; Bacillota; Clostridia; Eubacteriales; Clostridiaceae
Description: bacterial SSU rRNA
Rfam family: Bacterial small subunit ribosomal RNA
Source: RNAcentral
UCCUACGGGUGGCUGCAGUGGGGAAUAUUGCACAAUGGGGGAAACCCUGAUGCAGCAACGCCGCGUGAGUGAUGACGGUCUUCGGAUUGUAAAACUCUGUCUUCAAGGACGAUAAUGACGGUACUUGAGGAGGAAGCCACGGCUAACUACGUGCCAGCAGCCGCGGUAAUACGUAGGUGGCAAGCGUUGUCCGGAUUUACUGGGCGUAAAGGGAGCGUAGGUGGAUAUUUAAGUGGGAUGUGAAAUACUCGGGGUUAACCUGAGUGCUGCAUUCCAAACUGGAUAUCUAGAGUGCAGGAGAGGAAAGUAGAAUUCCUAGUGUAGCGGUGAAAUGCGUAGAGAUUAGGAAGAAUACCAGUGGCGAAGGCGACUUUCUGGACUGUAACUGACACUGAGGCUCGAAAGCGUGGGGAGCAAACAGGAUUAGAUACCCCUGUAGUCUC